Molecule: ribosomal RNA, 392 nt
Filed under: uncultured bacterium
Lineage: Bacteria
Description: bacterial SSU rRNA
Rfam family: Bacterial small subunit ribosomal RNA
Source: RNAcentral
GACGAACGCUGGCGGCGUGCUUAACACAUGCAAGUCGAGCGGUAAGGCCCUUUCGGGGGUACACGAGCGGCGAACGGGUGAGUAACACGUGGGUGACCUGCCCUUAGCUCUGGGAUAAGCCUGGGAAACUGGGUCUAAUACCGGAUAUGACUCCAUGACGCAUGUUGUGGGGUGGAAAGCCUUGUGCGGCUAGGGGAUGGGCCCGCGGCCUAUCAGCUUGUUGGUGGGGUGAUGGCCUACCAAGGCGACGACGGGUAGCCGGCCUGAGAGGGCGACCGGCCACACUGGGACUGAGACACGGCCCAGACUCCUACGGGAGGCAGCAGUGGGGAAUCUUGCGCAAUGGGCGAAAGCCUGACGCAGCGACGCCGCGUGAGGGAUGACGGCCUGGU